RNAcentral lists this non-coding RNA (28 nucleotides) under Rattus norvegicus (Norway rat). Lineage: Eukaryota; Metazoa; Chordata; Mammalia; Rodentia; Muridae. The record is from RNAcentral.
UGAUUGUUGAAUGAAUUCAGGCGACACU